Molecule: ribosomal RNA, 460 nt
Filed under: uncultured bacterium
Lineage: Bacteria
Description: partial 16S ribosomal RNA
Rfam family: Bacterial small subunit ribosomal RNA
Source: RNAcentral
CCUACGGGAUGCUGCAGUGAGGAAUAUUGGUCAAUGGCCGGAAGGCUGAACCAGCCAUGCCGCGUGAAGGUCAGUGCCCUAUGGGCGUUAAACUUCUUUUGUGCGGGAGCAAUAAUGGUCACGUGUGGCCAGACGAGAGUACCGUACGAAUAAGCAUCGGCUAACUCCGUGCCAGCAGCCGCGGUAAUACGGGGGAUGCAAGCGUUAUCCGGAUUUAUUGGGUUUAAAGGGUGCGUAGGCUGUGAGGUAAGGCAGCGGUGAAAUGCCCCCGCUCAACGGGGUGAAGUGCCAUUGAUACUGCCUGGCUGGAAUGCGGAUGCCGUGGGAGGAAUGUGUGGUGUAGCGGUGAAAUGCAUAGAUAUCACACAGAACACCGAUUGCGAAGGCAUCUCACGAAUCCGCGAUUGACGCUGAUGCACGAAAGCGUGGGUAUCAAACAGGAUUAGAUACCCGAGUAGUC